GACUUAAAAUCCGUCGACUUUAUAAGUCGUGAGGGUUCAAGUCCCUCUAUCCCCA
This 55-nucleotide transfer RNA is filed under the name Poa pratensis (Kentucky bluegrass). Its description in RNAcentral is "partial tRNA-Leu". The record is from RNAcentral. RNAcentral also lists the same sequence under 23 other names. Lineage: Eukaryota; Viridiplantae; Streptophyta; Magnoliopsida; Poales; Poaceae.